AGAAAAGAAGAUAUAAGCAAACCCUAAUUCUCUCUCUUAUUCCUCUUCUACCUUCUUUCUUCACUUAGUCAUGACUGUGGCUGCUCUUCUUGUUGCAACCAUUCAAUGCUUUUAGGUCAGUCUUUGCCUUUUAUUCAUUUUCUCUCUUGUUUCUCUUCUUCCCACUCUUCCAAAUUGAAAUCAAACGAGAAAUUUCUAGGGUUUUUAAGUUUAUUUAUAUGUGAAACGCCAAACGAAUAUGAGAGACAGUGAGAUUAGGUGUACUGUUAUAACAAGGGCAACAUCGCCUGGUUCGCUAACAAAACCAGUUUUUUUCCUGGGUGUCAACCCCUCACUUUGGUGCCAUGGUUCUCUUCCUCGAUGGAAGAUGUUUUGUUUUUUUUUUUUGACAAAAGAUCUUUUGUUUUUCAUUCCUAAAAAAAUGAGUUUUUUUUUUUUUAUUAAUUGUAGUGAUGUUGAUGGUCAAUUUAGCUACUAUGGAGAAUCUACGUCAUUCAGCAGUGGAUAGGAGGCUCAUGAGAGCACAACUACAUUGUCGUAUAUGAAGACAUAGCAAGCAUCUAUAUCUCUUUGUGGCAAAAUUCUGACCCAAAAUGAAAAUCUUUGCAGAGUAAAGCGCUUCUACCAUUCUCAGCGUCAUCAAUAUUCCAACUCAAUAUAUAUAUAUAUAUAUGCAUGUAGAUGAGUGUGUUAUUUAUGAUUUUAUUGAGGGUUUUGUGGAUACUGAUUUGGGGUUAAAUGAAAAACUAUGCAAAGUAAAUCACUUUCGGCGGUGAAUAAGUUCCAGCUCAGAGAACCUCCAUCUAGUGCAUGUAUGGGAGUUGAUAAUGGCAUAACAAAGAAUGAUGUUGGCGUUUAUGGCAUCUAUGAGAGUGUCUAUGGUGGUCAUAAAGUUUGUUGAUAUGUUUUUUAUGGUUGGAGUUUGGGUAUUAUUAUGGUCAUCAAUCUUUUAAUCUAAGUUUUGUAUAUUUGUAUAAUGUAUUAUAUAUGUAAAUUUGUAAAGAUUUGAUUGUUCUAUAUUUGUAUAUAUAUAGUGUAUAUUGUAUAUAAUGUAAAUUUGUAUAGAUCCGAGUUUAAUGUAAAUUUAUUGAUAUAUAUUGGUGAUAUUAAGUGUA
Humulus lupulus (European hop) is the source of this 1115-nucleotide long non-coding RNA. RefSeq lists it as uncharacterized. The record is from RefSeq and is a predicted model, not a curated record. Lineage: Eukaryota; Viridiplantae; Streptophyta; Magnoliopsida; Rosales; Cannabaceae. The transcript has 2 exons.